RNAcentral lists this ribosomal RNA (492 nucleotides) under uncultured bacterium. RNAcentral describes it as "partial 16S ribosomal RNA". It matches the Rfam family "Bacterial small subunit ribosomal RNA", at positions 29 to 507 of the family's 1533-position model. The record is from RNAcentral.
AGUGAACGCUGGCGGUAGGCCUAACACAUGCGAGUCGAACGGCAGCACAGUAAGAGCUUGCUCUUACGGGUGGCGAGUGGCGGACGGGUGAGGAAUACAUCGGAAUCUACUUUUUCGUGGGGGAUAGCGUAGGGAAACUUACGCUAAUACCGCAUACGACCUACGGGUGAAAGCAGGGGAUCUUCGGACCUUGCGCGAUUGAAUGAGCCGAUGUCGGAUUAGCUAGUUGGCGGGGUAAAGGCCCACCAAGGCGACGAUCCGUAGCUGGUCUGAGAGGAUGAUCAGCCACACUGGAACUGAGACACGGUCCAGACUCCUACGGGAGGCAGCAGUGGGGAAUAUUGGACAAUGGGCGCAGGCCUGAUCCAGCCAUACCGCGUGGGUGAAGAAGGCCUUCGGGUUGUAAAGCCCUUUUGUUGGGAAAGAAAAGCAGCAGGUUAAUACCCCGCUGUUCUGACGGUACCCAAAGAAUAAGCACCGGCUAACUUCGUG